AACGAACGCUGGCGGCAGGCUUAACACAUGCAAGUCGAGCGCACCCACCGGGGUGUGCGGCAGCCGAGUGUGUAACGCGUGGGAAUCUUCCUUUUGCUACGGAAUAGCUCCGGGAAACUGGUAUUAAUACCGAAUGUGCCCUAAGGGGGAAUGAUUUAUCGACAAGCGAUGAGCCGGCGUUGGAUUAGCUAGUGGUUGCGGUAAUGGCCUACCACGGCGAGGAUCCAUAGCUGGUUUGAGAGGAUGAUCAGCCACAUUGGGACUGAGACACGGCCCAAACUCCUACGGGAUGCAGCAGUGGGGAAUAUUGGACAAUGGGCGCAAGCCUGAUCCAGCCAUGCCGCGUGAGUGAUGAAGGCCGUAGGGUUGUAAAGCUCUUUCACCGGAGAAGAUAAUGACGGUAUCCGGAGAAGAAGCCACGGCUAACUUCGUG
RNAcentral lists this ribosomal RNA (433 nucleotides) under uncultured bacterium. Its description in RNAcentral is "partial 16S ribosomal RNA". It matches the Rfam family "Bacterial small subunit ribosomal RNA", at positions 29 to 507 of the family's 1533-position model. The record is from RNAcentral.